AGGGCAGUAGCUCGAAUUGGUUAGAGCGGCUGAUUCCAAAUCAGCAGGUUCGGGGUUCGAAUCCCUGCUGCCCUGCCA
RNAcentral lists this transfer RNA (78 nucleotides) under Planctomycetota bacterium. Its description in RNAcentral is "tRNA-Trp". It matches the Rfam family "tRNA". Rfam says of the family: Transfer RNA (tRNA) molecules are approximately 80 nucleotides in length. Their secondary structure includes four short double-helical elements and three loops (D, anti-codon, and T loops). Lineage: Bacteria; Pseudomonadati; Planctomycetota. The record is from RNAcentral.